Molecule: unclassified non-coding RNA, 207 nt
Filed under: uncultured Clavariaceae
Lineage: Eukaryota; Fungi; Basidiomycota; Agaricomycetes; Agaricales; Clavariaceae
Description: partial internal transcribed spacer 2
Source: RNAcentral
AUCUAUCAGUCCAACACAGGUUAAACCUUGUACUUGGUGCUUGAAUAAUGAAGGUUGCUGGAGUCAAUAUCAGCUCCUUUGAAAUGUAUUAGCCGAAUUUUGUAUCAGCUUUGGUUUGAUAAUUAUUUUAUCCAUGCUGUUGCUGGUAAACAUAGUUCAGCUUCAAAUUGUCUCUGUGAGACUGUCCAUUUUUUGGGCAUUAUUUUG